This 468-nucleotide ribosomal RNA is filed under the name uncultured bacterium. RNAcentral describes it as "partial 16S ribosomal RNA". It matches the Rfam family "Bacterial small subunit ribosomal RNA", at positions 28 to 507 of the family's 1533-position model. The record is from RNAcentral.
GACGAACGCUGGCGGCGUGCUUAACACAUGCAAGUCGAACGGAAAGGCCCUGCUUUUGUGGGGUGCUCGAGUGGCGAACGGGUGAGUAACACGUGAGUAACCUGCCCUUGACUUUGGGAUAACUUCAGGAAACUGGGGCUAAUACCGGAUAGGAGCUCCUGCUGCAUGGUGGGGGUUGGAAAGUUUCGGCGGUUGGGGAUGGACGCGCGGCUUAUCAGCUUGUUGGUGGGGUAGUGGCUUACCAAGGCUUUGACGGGUAGCCGGCCUGGGAGGGUGACCGGCCACAUUGGGACUGCGAUACGGCCCAGACUCCUACGGGAGGCAGCAGUGGGGAAUAUUGCACAAUGGGCGGAAGCCUGAUGCAGCAACGCCGCGUGCGGGAUGACGGCCUUCGGGUUGUAAACCGCUUUCGCCUGUGACGAAGCGUGAGUGACGGUAAUGGGUAAAGAAGCACCGGCUAACUACGUG